GGGGCAGCACGGGAGUAGCAAUACAACUGGUGGCGACCGGCGCACGGGUGAGUAACGCGUAUGCAACCCUUUUAUCAGAGGGGAAUAACCCGGCGAAAGUCGGACUAAUACCGCAUAAAACAGGGGCACCGCAUGGUGAUAUUUGUUAAAGAAAUUCGCUGAUAGAUGGGCAUGCGUUCCAUUAGGUAGUUGGUGAGGUAACGGCUCACCAAGCCGACGAUGGAUAGGGGAACUGAGAGGUUGGUCCCCCACACUGGUACUGAGACACGGACCAGACUCCUACGGGAGGCAGCAGUGAGGAAUAUUGGUCAAUGGGCGAGAGCCUGAACCAGCCAAGUCGCGUGAAGGAAGAAGGAUCUAUGGUUCGUAAACUUCUUUUGCAGGGGAAUAAAGUGCAGGACGUGUCCUGUUUUGUAUGUACCCUGAGAAUAAGGAUCGGCUAACUCCGUGCCAGCAGCCGCGGUAAUACGGAGGAUCCGAGCGUUAUCCGGAUUUAUUGGGUUUAAAGGGUGCGUAGGUGGUUUUAUAAGUCAGCGGUGAAAGUUUGCAGCUUAACUGUAAAAAUGCCGUUGAAACUGUAAGACUUGAGUGUAAAUGAGGUAGGCGGAAUGCGUGGUGUAGCGGUGAAAUGCAUAGAUAUCACGAAGAACUCCGAUUG
Molecule: ribosomal RNA, 658 nt
Filed under: uncultured Porphyromonadaceae bacterium
Lineage: Bacteria; Pseudomonadati; Bacteroidota; Bacteroidia; Bacteroidales; Porphyromonadaceae
Description: bacterial SSU rRNA
Rfam family: Bacterial small subunit ribosomal RNA
Source: RNAcentral